UUAGCCACAGAUAGUGUGGAAAGAACAUGAAUGCCGGCCUCAACACCCUGAUGUUCUUCUAUACCUUUAACACAUCAUCUUAAAUUGUGAUCACGCCUUCAAGAAAAAAUUCAAGAAUCGACAUUCCUCUGAGAAGCCCAAGUUCACAUUUCUGGGUUCUAUUUACUUGUGAUAUUUCAUCACAGUGGCAGGAAGCAUACAACAAAAGGCAUGAGAGUUGCUGAACAAACCUGACCCUUCUGUGCAGUUGCCUCAAAUGUGAUGACUCAUUUCAUGCGUCAGCUUGAACAGGCAAAGGAGUGCCAAGAUAUCUGUCGCUGUGAGCCCCUAUGAGUUCAGCUUAGCUGAUUCUGUGGGCUGUAUUCCGUGGCCCUAUUCAGUGUUGUCCUUGACUCCACUGACUUCUACAAUCCUUCCUUGCCUUCUUCUAGAGGAUUCCCCAAACUCCACCUAAUGUUUGGCUGUGGAUUUCUGCAUCUGUUUCCAUCAGUUGUUGCAUGAAUUC
Molecule: long non-coding RNA, 505 nt
Organism: Arvicola amphibius (Eurasian water vole)
Lineage: Eukaryota; Metazoa; Chordata; Mammalia; Rodentia; Cricetidae
Exons: 3
Source: RefSeq, a predicted model, not a curated record